Molecule: ribosomal RNA, 429 nt
Filed under: Actinomycetes bacterium
Lineage: Bacteria; Bacillati; Actinomycetota; Actinomycetes
Description: Actinobacteria bacterium partial 16S ribosomal RNA
Rfam family: Bacterial small subunit ribosomal RNA
Source: RNAcentral
UAGGGAAUCUUCCACAAUGGACGCAAGUCUGAUGGAGCAACGCCGCGUGAGUGAAGAAGGUUUUCGGAUCGUAAAGCUCUGUUGUUGGUGAAGAAGGAUAGAGGUAGUAACUGGCCUUUAUUUGACGGUAAUCAACCAGAAAGUCACGGCUAACUACGUGCCAGCAGCCGCGGUAAUACGUAGGUGGCAAGCGUUGUCCGGUUUUAUUGGGCGUAAAGCGAGCGCAGGCGGAAGAAUAAGUCUGAUGUGAAAGCCCUCGGCUUAACCGAGGAACUGCAUCGGAAACUGUUUUUCUUGAGUGCAGAAGAGGAGAGUGGAACUCCAUGUGUAGCGGUGGAAUGCGUAGAUAUAUGGAAGAACACCAGUGGCGAAGGCGACUCUCUGGUCUGCAACUGACGCUGAGGCUCGAAAGCAUGGGUAGCGAACAGG